UGAGGAAUAUUGGACAAUGGGCGCAAGCCUGAUCCAGCCAUGCCGCGUGAGUGAUGAAGGUCUUAGGAUUGUAAAGCUCUUUCACCGGAGAAGAUAAUGACGGUAUCCGGAGAAGAAGCCCCGGCUAACUUCGUGCCAGCAGCCGCGGUAAUACGAAGGGGGCUAGCGUUGUUCGGAAUUACUGGGCGUAAAGCGCACGUAGGCGGAUAUUUAAGUCGGGGGUGAAAUCCCAGAGCUCAACUCUGGAAUUGCCUUUGAUACUGGGUAUCUAGAGUAUGGAAGAGGUGAGUGGAAUUCCGAGUGUAGAGGUGAAAUUCGUAGAUAUUCGGAGGAACACCAGUGGCGAAGGCGGCUCACUGGUCCAUUACUGACGCUGAGGUGCGAAAGCGUGGGGAGCAAACAGGAUUAGAUACCCGGGUAGUCCCUGAGCGGGCUGGCAAGGCGCAU
RNAcentral lists this ribosomal RNA (447 nucleotides) under uncultured bacterium. RNAcentral describes it as "bacterial SSU rRNA". It matches the Rfam family "Bacterial small subunit ribosomal RNA", at positions 355 to 825 of the family's 1533-position model. The record is from RNAcentral.